GACAGAGGGUGCAAACGUUGCUCGGAAUUACUGGGCGUAAAGCGCGUGUAGGCGGCCAACUAAGUCGGACGUGAAAUCCCUCGGCUCAACCGGGGAACUGCGUCCGAUACUGGAUGGCUUGAAUCCGGGAGAGGGAUGCGGAAUUCCAGGUGUAGCGGUGAAAUGCGUAGAUAUCUGGAGGAACACCGGUGGCGAAGGCGGCAUCCUGGACCGGCAUUGACGCUGAGGAGCGAAAGCCAGGGGAGCAAACGGG
RNAcentral lists this ribosomal RNA (253 nucleotides) under uncultured bacterium. RNAcentral describes it as "partial 16S ribosomal RNA". It matches the Rfam family "Bacterial small subunit ribosomal RNA", at positions 524 to 776 of the family's 1533-position model. The record is from RNAcentral.